RNAcentral lists this ribosomal RNA (491 nucleotides) under uncultured bacterium. RNAcentral describes it as "bacterial SSU rRNA". It matches the Rfam family "Bacterial small subunit ribosomal RNA", at positions 28 to 515 of the family's 1533-position model. The record is from RNAcentral.
GAUGAACGCUAGCGGCGGGCCUAACACAUGCAAGUCGAGGGGCAGCACAGGUAGCAAUACUGGGUGGCGACCGGCGGAUGGGUGCGUAACGCGUAUGCAACCUACCAUUGAUUGGGGCAUAGCCCGAAGAAAUUCGGAUUAAUACUCCAUAAUAUUCAUUAAAGGCAUCUUUUAUGAAUUAAAGCUUUUGCGAUCAAUGAUGGGCAUGCGUGACAUUAGUUAGUUGGUGAGGUAACGGCUCACCAAAACGAUGAUGUCUAGGGGUUCUGAGAGGAUUAUCCCCCACACUGGUACUGAGACACGGACCAGACUCCUACGGGAGGCAGCAGUGAGGAAUAUUGGUCAAUGGACGCAAGUCUGAACCAGCCAUGCCGCGUGCAGGAUGACGGCCCUAUGGGUUGUAAACUGCUUUUCCACGGGAAGAACCCUCCGACGUGUCGGAGACUGACGGUACCGUGGGAAUAAGCAUCGGCUAACUCCGUGCCAGCACG